UUCCCAUAGAAGUACUCUGGAGUUUAUUUUUCCGAGUUUCUAUGGAUUUUUUAUGUUCUUAUCAUCAUUUGUGAAUUAUCACGUAUUACGUGUAAGAAGUUUUUAGGAGGAUUCAUAUCAUGCAAAACGGUACAGUAAAAUGGUUUAACGCGGAAAAAGGUUACGGCUUCAUCCAAGUAGAAGGUGGAAAUGAUGUAUUCGUACACUUCUCUGCAAUUCAAGAAGAAGGUUUCAAAUCUCUAGAAGAAGGUCAAACCGUUUCUUUCGAAAUUGUUGAAGGCGACCGCGGACCACAAGCAGCUAAUGUUGAAAAACAAUAAAUAAAAUCCAAAGCAGCCUCUAUAGAGGCUGCUUUUUUU
RNAcentral lists this small RNA (359 nucleotides) under Halobacillus halophilus DSM 2266. Its description in RNAcentral is "cspA thermoregulator". It matches the Rfam family "cspA thermoregulator". The record is from Rfam by way of RNAcentral. Lineage: Bacteria; Bacillati; Bacillota; Bacilli; Caryophanales; Bacillaceae.